RNAcentral lists this ribosomal RNA (301 nucleotides) under uncultured bacterium. Its description in RNAcentral is "partial 16S ribosomal RNA". It matches the Rfam family "Bacterial small subunit ribosomal RNA", at positions 509 to 807 of the family's 1533-position model. The record is from RNAcentral.
CAGCAGCCGCGGUAAUACGAAGGGUGCAAGCGUUAAUCGGAAUUACUGGGCGUAAAGCGCACGUAGGCGGCUUGGUAAGUUAGAGGUGAAAGCCUGGAGCUCAACUCCAGAAUUGCCUUUAAGACUGCCGAGCUAGCAGGUGAGAGAGGUAAGUGGAAUUCCGAGUGUAGAGGUGAAAUUCGUAGAUAUUCGGAAGAACACCAGUGGCGAAGGCGGCUUACUGGCUCAUACUGGACGCUGAGGUGCGAAAGCGUGGGGAGCAAACAGGAUUAGAUACCCGCGUAGUCCCUGUCUCUUAUAC